GUCUGGUUUUGAGGCAACGGGCAUUGUUGAUUGGAAUCCACUGGCUAUACCGGUUUCUGCUUUUGCCACUGCCUCAGCAUUUGACAAUCCAGACAUUGAGUUGGACGAGUCUGAGAAAGAAUUGCCCGGUGACAACCAUCAAUUGUUAUGGGUUGUCCGUAAAGUCAAGUCUGUUGCUACAUCUGAACCUGUUGUUUCACAAACUGCUACUACUUUUUCUACUGCUACUGCUUUUAUUUCAC
Molecule: long non-coding RNA, 242 nt
Filed under: Mytilus galloprovincialis (Mediterranean mussel)
Lineage: Eukaryota; Metazoa; Mollusca; Bivalvia; Mytilida; Mytilidae
Source: RNAcentral